GCCUAGCCCCGAUUGCAGCAAUUGUUUGAGCUCUUUUUUAUUUUUCUUUUCGAAAAAAUAAAAAAAGCGAGUGCGGAAAGCGGGAAAUAGC
Tenacibaculum dicentrarchi is the source of this 91-nucleotide non-coding RNA. NCBI's taxonomy places the organism in Bacteria, Pseudomonadati, Bacteroidota, Flavobacteriia, Flavobacteriales, Flavobacteriaceae. The record is from Rfam.